RNAcentral lists this ribosomal RNA (495 nucleotides) under uncultured bacterium. RNAcentral's name for it is "partial 16S ribosomal RNA". It matches the Rfam family "Bacterial small subunit ribosomal RNA", at positions 28 to 507 of the family's 1533-position model. The record is from RNAcentral.
GACGAACGCUGGCGGCGUGCCUAAUACAUGCAAGUCGAACGCUGAAGGAGGAGCUUGCUUCUCCGGAUGAGUUGCGAACGGGUGAGUAACGCGUAGGUAACCUGCCUGGUAGCGGGGGAUAACUAUUGGAAACGAUAGCUAAUACCGCAUAAGAGUAGAUGUCGCAUGACAUUUGCUUAAAAGGUGCAACUGCACCACUACCAGAUGGACCUGCGUUGUAUUAGCUAGUUGGUGAGGUAACGGCUCACCAAGGCAACGAUACAUAGCCGACCUGAGAGGGUGAUCGGCCACACUGGGACGGAGACACGGCCCAGACUCCUACGGGAGGCAGCAGUAGGGAAUCUUCGGCAAUGGAAGGAAGUCUGACCGAGAAACGCCGCGGGAGUGAAGAAGGGUUUCGGAUCGUAAAGCUCUGUUGUAAGAGAAGAACGAGUGUGAGAGUGGAAAGUUCACACUGUGACGGUAGCUGACCAGAAAGGGACGGCUAACUACGUG